RNAcentral lists this unclassified non-coding RNA (743 nucleotides) under Bombus terrestris (buff-tailed bumblebee). RNAcentral's name for it is "misc RNA ENSBTSG00005028349.1". The record is from RNAcentral. Lineage: Eukaryota; Metazoa; Arthropoda; Insecta; Hymenoptera; Apidae.
CUUAAUUUCAAGAAUACAGAAGUUAAUUUGGAUGGUUAUUUUAAGAGAUGCAAGACUUUGUAGGGCAUUUAAAAAGUCUGAAAAAAUAAUUGAGAAGAUUCAGCUAACUUCAGCCAAUCAGGAACCAGCUAGAAGAGCAUUCAGCGGGACGAAAUACCAGUUUCUUGUCGGAAAGCACGGUGUUUCCAUGUCACUUUGUUUUAAGUGAGUGAUGUCAUCUACGUACUAAUUUUUCACUUUUCAUAGAUUACUUUGUUUGCUUGAUUAAUACACGAUUAUUUAAUAGUUCGCCAGAGAGUGUUUUAUCGGAAUUAAACAAAUUCUCGAUAAUAUCUCGUUUGUGUUACGUGUGUUCGUAUUCCUACUUGACUGCCCGAAUCACCAAUAGCUUACACUCUAACCUUUAACCGAGACACAAUUUCAGUAUAGAUAACACUUUAUUUUGCACACAAAUGGUGGUUUCUUUUAUAUAAAUCACUGAUCGAUUGUGAAAAUCACAUUAUUUAUAAUGAUCUCGCUUCUCUUCGUAACCUUUUCCUUUUCGACCAUAUGUAGUGAACGUGUAGUGAAAUACAUUUCCUUAAGUAUAGUUUAUGCAUGCUCGACUUGCCGGCGAGUCUCCUUUGCCCCACUCCGCUACCCGAAAUUCGCUGGGCAAACCGCGGUGCGGGGAUGAAUUCUAGUGUUGAUGUUCAGAGCGAUUAGCUGGUACAUACAUAUGUAUAAUAACGAGCUUCAAACAU